UCCGCCUGCCUCGGCCUCCCAAAGUACUGGGAUUACAGGCAUGAGCCACCGCACCUGGCUAAUUUUGUAUUUUUAGUAGAAACGAGGUUUCUCCAUGUUGGUCAGGUUGGUCUUGAACACGGGACCUCAGGUGAUCCGCCCACCUUGGGCUCCCAAAGUGCUGGGAUUACAGGCAUGAGCCACCACUCCUAGCAAUAUACUCUUUAUAACCUCACUACAACCACCUCAGAUAGGCAUUAUUAUUCACACUUUAAGCAUGGAGAAACUGAAGCUCAGGGAAGUUAGGUAACUUGUGCCAGGUCACACAGCAAGUUAAGUACUGGAGCUGGGUUUGGAAACUGAACAUUAUGUCUCUAGGGCUGAACACUUACCUAUUAAGCUAUUAUCUCAACUGCAAGUUUGAUCAUAAGACAGAAUAUUUACUUACUAAUUAAGAUGUACAAAUGGGUAGGUUAGAGAUUUUGGCUUUAGUCCUUACUCUGAUAUUUUAGCCAACUUUCUUCGUGACUCAUUUUUUUUUUAACCUGUCAAAUGGGAAAAUAGCACUUACCUAUUGUAUGCAACCUAUUUUUACCUAUCUUUAUUAUUAUGAUAAUAGAUGUUAAAGUACUUUGAAAAGACAAAUACUAUACAAAUGUAAAGUGCUACUACGAUUAUUUUUCUAAAUAACAGAGGGCACUACACCUGUCUUCUGUCUUGGUGGGGUCAAGGUCUAGAUUGACAUUCUAAUUCAACAAACAUUUCCUUCUUUCUUUCUUUCUUUCUUCUUUUUUUUUUUUUUUUUUUUUUUUUUUUUUGAGACAGGGUCUCAGUCUGUCACCCAGGCUGGCUGGAAUGCAGUGGCGCAAUCUCAGCUCACUGCAGCCUCAACAGCCCAGGCUCCAGAGAUCUUCCCACCUCAGCUUCCUGAGUAGCUGGGGGUUACAGUAGCUUCCCGAGUAGCACCCGGAUAAUUUUUUUUUUUUUUGAGACGGAGUCUCGCUCUGGAGGCUCUGUCGCCCUGGCUGGAGUGCAGUGGCAUGAUCUCUGCUCACUGCAACCUCCACCUCCUAGGUUUAAGCGAUUCUCCCUUCUCAGCCUCCUGAGGAGCUGGGACUACAGACGAGUGCCACCACGCCCGGCUAAUUUUUGUAUUUUUAGUAGAGAUGGGGUUUCACCAUGUUGGCCAGGCUGGUCUCAAACUCCUGACCCUGUGAUCCACCCGCCUCGGCCUCCCACGUGCUGGAAUUACAGGCGUGAGCCGCCGCGCCUGGCCGCACCCGGCUAAUUUUUUCAAUUAUUUGUAGAGGCGGUGUUUCGCCAUGUUGCUCAGGCUGGUCUCAAACUCCUGGGGUCAAGCUACCUGCCCGCCUCAGCCUCCCAAAGUGCUGGGAUUAUAGGCGUGAGCCCCCACGCCUGGCCAACAAACACUUAAGUGUCUUCUAUGAACCUAGCAAGUGCUUGGCACUGCUUCUGUUGAGUGCACAGCCCCAAGCGGAAGACAAACAUUAAAUACGCAAUUAUACAAAUAUGAUAAAGUUUUAUAUUGUGUCUUGAAGGAAAUAAACCCCUUGUUAGGAAAGAGAAUGAGAGAGUGGACUUGGAGGAAAUGACUUUUUCUCCACUGGGAGAGGGAAGAGUGGAAAACAUGGAGAGGGGAGUGCUGUGCAUGAGUCAUGGUGGGAGAGAUACCAGCCCAAGGUUGGGUCACUCAGGGCCUUGGGGGCUCUGUAUUGGGCUUUGUACUUUAUCCCAAGUGCAACAGAAAAUCCUUUUUUUUUUUUUAACUUUUUUUUUUUUCUACUCUUGUUGCCCAAGCGGCAGUGCUGCAGUGGCGCAAUCUCGGCUCACUGCAACGUCUGCCUCCUGGGUUCAAGCGAUUCCCCUGUCUCCCAAGUAGCUGGGAUUGCAGGCGCCCACCACCGCACCCAGCUAAUUUUUGUAUUUUUAGCAGAGACGGGGUUCACCAUGUUGGCCAGGCUGGUCUGGAACCCCUGACCUCAAAUGAUCCGCCCACCUCGGCCUCCCAAAGUGCUGGGAUUACAGACGUGAGCCACCGCGCCCGGCCAGAAAAUCCUAAGGGGUUAGGAGCUGAGGCCUAGAAUGGUCAAAGAGUUGGAGGUGUUUGCAAAAGUGAUUUCAUUGAUGACCCGUGAUGUCUGGGUUGAAAAGGGGAGAGUGAAGAGAGGAGGGGACUGCAGGAUGGAGAGAAAGCAGCAGGGCUUGGACUGAAGAGCUUGCUAAGCUGAAAGGACUGUUGCUGCGGGGGUUACUUGAGAGCACGGAAGGAGAGGAGAGCGUGUUUGAAUGAGUGAGGAAGGCUGUGAAGUUUCUGGUCCAUGUUGUGAUCACGGGAGUGGGUGGUGGUAACAGAGCAGAAGGAAGUGUAGCUGGGAAUGUGAAGUGAGAAAGCUAAAAGGCCAGAAUGGCUUGACAGAACCAGAGAGCAAGUUCCAAUUCACGGGAGGCUCAAGCGCCUGGGUUUUGUACAGGGCUGACCCCUGCUGGUAAAUUCUGGUAGAAGCCCAGGAAGCCACGCUGCUCGCUUAGGAGAACCUGAGAAGUGUGGUAACAGCGGUCACAGGCAGCAAAGGAAGAGGGCUGUUUUUCCUUAGACAUAACAUUUUCAUUUUUGAAAUGUCUCUGCCAGUUUUAGGCUUAGAAUGUCCUCACAACUAAAGCUUUCUUAGUAAACAUAUAUGUAAUAAAAUGCACACAUCUCAACUGUAGAGCUAGAUGAAACUGUAGAAAUGUAUAAGCCCAUUACGUAACAAAUGUAAUCAUCACCCAGAUUAAGUUAGAGCAUAUUCCAGUAGAUCUCCCCAAAACCUCCCUCUUGUCCACUCACUACUUACCCUACUAUCUUGACUUCUAACAGCAUAGAUUAGUUUUGCCUGUUGUUGAAAGUCAUAUAAAUGGAAUCAAACUGUAUGCAUUCUUUUGUAUUUUGUUUCUUUUCUUUUUCUUUUUUUUUUUUUUUUUUUUUUUUGAGAUGGAGUCUCGCUCUGUCGCCCAGGCUGGAGUGCAGUGGCGCAAUCUCAGCUGACUACAACCUGCACCUCCCGGGUUCAAGUGAUUCUCCUGCCUCAGCCUCCCAAGUAGCUGGGAUUACAGGCGCAUGCCACCAUGCCCAGCUAAUUUUUUGUAUUUUUAGUAGAGAUGGGGUUUCACCGUGUUAGCCAGGAUGGUCCUGAUCUCCUGACCUUGUGAUCCGCCCGCCUCAGCCUCCCAAAGUGCUGGGAUUACAGGCGUGAGCCACUAUGCCCUGCCUGUAUUUUGUUUCUUUGACUUAACAUAUGCCUGUGAAAUUUACCCACAUUGUGGUAGUAGUUCAUUCUUUUUUAAAAAAUUGCAUUAAAAAAUAUGCUACCAUUAUUUAUCCAUUCUUUUUUUUUUUUUUUUUUGAGACGAGGUCUUGCUGUGUCACCCAGGCUGGAGGGCAGUGGUGGGAUCUCAGCUCACUGCAACCUCCACCUACCAGCCUCAAGCAAUCCUCCCACCUAAGCCUCCCAAGUAGUAGCUGAGACUACAAGUGUGCACCAUCACAACUGGCUAAUUUUUGUGGGUUUUUUUGGCUAGAGAUGGGGUUUUGCCAUGUUGCCCAGGCUGGUCUUAAACUUCUGGGCUCAAGCAAUUCUCCCAGCUCAGCCUCCCAAAGUGCUAGGGUUACAGAUGUGAGCCACUGUGCCAGGCCCACUAUUUAUCCAUUUCUAUUACUGAUUAAAAUUUGGAUUGUUUCCAGAUUAUGACUAUUAUGCUCCUAUGGCCAUCCAUCCAUAUGUCUUCUGUUAAUUGUAUGUGUGUGU
This 3785-nucleotide long non-coding RNA is filed under the name Homo sapiens (human). RNAcentral describes it as "HSALNT0032826". Lineage: Eukaryota; Metazoa; Chordata; Mammalia; Primates; Hominidae. The record is from RNAcentral.